Long non-coding RNA from Lutra lutra (Eurasian river otter), 1050 nucleotides. RefSeq lists it as uncharacterized. The transcript is spliced from 3 exons. NCBI's taxonomy places the organism in Eukaryota, Metazoa, Chordata, Mammalia, Carnivora, Mustelidae. The record is from RefSeq and is a predicted model, not a curated record.
CUCUCUUUCUGUCAAAUAAAUCAAUAAAAUCUUAAAAAAGAAAAAAAAAACCUGGCUGAAAGGUAAGAUAAAUUAUGCUUGUUAGUGGCUGGUGAUGAGGAGUGAGGGGGAAGGAGGAAAACAAGGAGCCUAAGAGACUACCUGGAUGAUUGACGGCAGCACCUUCCACCAUGGAGUACACAGAGGGAGGAGAGGUUUGGGGAGGAUGGGGAGCAGGAUCUUCAUUUGUGAAAAUGGCAGGUACAAGAAGCAGUUGGAGCUUCCUAGUGGAAAGCUGGAAAUGUGGGUACAAAGUUCAGGAGCAACCAUAGGAAUGGAAAUCUCGUUGCAGAGUCAACAGCAGAGACUUGUCAUGGAAUCGACAGGCAUAUCCAGGAAGAGCCUGUGAGAUGGGAAGACAAGAGGUUGGAGCCUGGGGGACACUGGGCCCAAAGAAAACGGAUAAAUGGAUCCAAAAUUGAGUCUUUGAUGACUGGCUGUGCCAUUAAGUCAAAGGAGGAAAGAGAUUGUAUCUGAUGAUGACAAUAUCCUGAAAACCAAGAGGGCUGAAGGCCAUUAGCUGGGGAGACCAAAGGCCAGAUGCCUUGGGCAACAAUUUGCUCAGCAUAUCUCUUCCUAAAUUCCAAGACAGGCUGCUUGCUCUGCUCGGUCAAGACUGCCAACCCAAGAAACAUUUUCGAAAGAUCACAGUCAACAUCAUUGCCAAAAGAAGAAGUUCUUGGCACACAAAAGACCUGGUUCAAUAUGAGAUGCCAGAUGGUGAUUUCAACUUCAGCUAAAUUCCUGCUGAAAAAAGUGUUUGAACUGCAGAUGAGAAAAGCUUCUAUGACAAAUUUCCAAGCGUUAGAAGCUUCAGAGGGAGAUGGCAAGUGUUGAUACACCCCCCCACCCAAGCACAUGCACACACCACAGACUUACUACCUGCAGCUGGUAAUUAAGAUUCCCACAAAGAUGCCUCUGCUUUUUAAGAAGACUGAGCCCUGACUUGAUUUUUACGAAUAUCAAAGUGUAUUUACUGAGCCCAUUGAAAGUAAAUCCUAGUUGAUUACA